This 72-nucleotide transfer RNA is filed under the name Ovis aries (sheep). It matches the Rfam family "tRNA". From Rfam's summary of the family: Transfer RNA (tRNA) molecules are approximately 80 nucleotides in length. Their secondary structure includes four short double-helical elements and three loops (D, anti-codon, and T loops). The record is from Rfam by way of RNAcentral. Lineage: Eukaryota; Metazoa; Chordata; Mammalia; Artiodactyla; Bovidae.
UCCCUAGUGGCUCAGAGAUUAAAGCGUCUGCCUCCAAUGCGGGAGACCCGGGUUCGAUCCCUGGGUCAGGAA